RNAcentral lists this long non-coding RNA (946 nucleotides) under Chrysemys picta bellii (western painted turtle). RNAcentral describes it as "lncRNA (ENSCPBG00000007093.1)". Lineage: Eukaryota; Metazoa; Chordata; Testudines; Emydidae. The record is from RNAcentral.
GCGCAGCGCUCUCAAGGCACAGCGCUCCCCCUCGCAGGGGCUCGCCGCUCUCGCGGAAACGAGCCUGCUGAGGAAGGGAGGCGGCGAACGUCGGGACCUUCCUCUCUGAUUGGUCUCCGCCGCUCGCUCUCUCCCCCCCCCCCGGCUCCGAGCGAGGGGAGGCGGCGAUUGGCUGCCCGGGCCUGUCAAUCGGAAAGGCCAAGUUCCAUUGCGGGAUCGCCUCGCUCCGCGAGCCGGGCUUGGCUGCUGCUGCCGCGGCGGCUGCGGGGAGCUGGCCGGCUGCUGCUGAUGGAGAAGUGAUGCUGGCUGCCGGGACCCGGGCGGCAGCAGCGGCAGGACCAGGACCAGCCGUGGGAGCCCAGCUGAACCCUCCGUGCCGCCAGCCAGGCGAAGACAGCAAAGCCAGCUGUGGGGAAACUUUCCACACAACAUUGUUGACAAGCUGUAACAGCGACGGAGAACAACAGCACAGAGGUUGGCAGGGGAGGUGUGAUGGUUCUCAGAAUGCCCUAGACUGUUUAUCAAUAUGCAACCAGCAGUUGUUCGAUAUGAGGUGGAGAAGGCGAGAUGAAAAAUGGCACAGAAUGAAGAAUUAUGAAAUUAUGGGCAUGGCACAGCUAAGCAAAGAAGAGCAAUUAAUGAAGAGAGAAAAACGGAACAUUGUCUAAGUCAGGUAAGCAAUUUAGACCAUUACCUAACAAUGUGUAAGGUGACUGAAGCUUAUUCGGAUUAUGCAAGGAUUACAGGUGCGUGCAUGCACACACACAGACAAAUGCUGGGACUUCCUUCCUGAGCAAUAUUUUCUCUGCAUUAAGUACAAACAUACUUUCUUCUGAUAUUAAACAUGCAUUUGACUUGCUUUGAAGCAUGAAUAACCCCAACUCCAGCACCUAGGUGCACUAUGGUAUGCCUCUUCCCACGCCUUCCCGCCCCUUUCCACUCCCUU